RNAcentral lists this ribosomal RNA (459 nucleotides) under uncultured bacterium. Its description in RNAcentral is "partial 16S ribosomal RNA". It matches the Rfam family "Bacterial small subunit ribosomal RNA", at positions 338 to 795 of the family's 1533-position model. The record is from RNAcentral.
CCUACGGGUGGCAGCAGUGAGGAAUAUUGGUCAAUGGGCGGAAGCCUGAACCAGCCAAGUAGCGUGCAGGAUGACGGCCCUACGGGUUGUAAACUGCUUUUAUACGGGAAUAACGCGCCUUACGUGUAGGGCUUUGCAUGUACCGUAUGAAUAAGGACCGGCUAAUUCCGUGCCAGCAGCCGCGGUAAUACGGAAGGUCCGAGCGUUAUCCGGAUUCAUUGGGCUUAAAGGGAGCGUAGGCGGGCGUUCAAGUCAGCUGUAAAAUCGCGCGGCUCAACCGCGCCCCGCAGUUGAAACUGGACGCCUUGAGUUCACAACAGGCAGGCGGAAUUCGUGGUGUAGCGGUGAAAUGCGUAGAUAUUAGGAGGAACACCAGUGGCGAAGGCGGUCUGCUGGACAGCAACUGACGCUGAGGCGCGAAAGCGUGGGGAGCAAACAGGAUUAGAUACCCCAGUAGUC